This 253-nucleotide ribosomal RNA is filed under the name uncultured bacterium. RNAcentral describes it as "partial 16S ribosomal RNA". It matches the Rfam family "Bacterial small subunit ribosomal RNA", at positions 524 to 776 of the family's 1533-position model. The record is from RNAcentral.
UACGUAGGUGGCAAGCGUUGUCCGGAUUUACUGGGCGUAAAGAGUGCGCAGGCGGUCGUUCAAGUCGCGUGUGAAAGCCCCCGGCUCAACUGGGGAGGGUCACGCGAUACUGGUCGACUCGAAGGCAGGAGAGGGUAGUGGAAUUCCCGGUGUAGUGGUGAAAUGCGUAGAUAUCGGGAGGAACACCAGUGGCGAAGGCGACUACCUGGCCUGUUCUUGACGCUGAGGCGCGAAAGCUAGGGGAGCAAACGGG